Molecule: transfer RNA, 76 nt
Filed under: bacterium 1XD42-54
Lineage: Bacteria
Description: tRNA-Arg
Rfam family: tRNA
About the family: Transfer RNA (tRNA) molecules are approximately 80 nucleotides in length. Their secondary structure includes four short double-helical elements and three loops (D, anti-codon, and T loops).
Source: RNAcentral
ACACCUGUAGCUCAGGGGAUAGAGCAGUGGUUUCCGGUACCACGUGCCGGGGGUUCGAAUCCCUCCAGGUGUGCUA